CCUACGGGAUGCAGCAGUGGGGAAUAUUGCACAAUGGGCGAAAGCCUGAUGCAGCGACGCCGCGUGAGGGAUGACGGCCUUCGGGUUGUAAACCUCUUUCAGCAGGGACGAAGCGCAAGUGACGGUACCUGCAGAAGAAGCACCGGCUAACUACGUGCCAGCAGCCGCGGUAAUACGUAGGGUGCGAGCGUUGUCCGGAAUUAUUGGGCGUAAAGAGCUCGUAGGCGGUUUGUUGCGUCGGCUGUGAAAACUUCACGCUUAACGUGGAGCCUGCAGUCGAUACGGGCAGACUUGAGUUCGGCAGGGGAGACUGGAAUUCCUGGUGUAGCGGUGAAAUGCGCAGAUAUCAGGAGGAACACCGGUGGCGAAGGUGGGUCUCUGGGCCGAUACUGACGCUGAGGAGCGAAAGCGUGGGGAGCAAACAGGAUUAGAUACCCGUGUAGUC
This 445-nucleotide ribosomal RNA is filed under the name uncultured bacterium. RNAcentral's name for it is "bacterial SSU rRNA". It matches the Rfam family "Bacterial small subunit ribosomal RNA", at positions 338 to 795 of the family's 1533-position model. The record is from RNAcentral.